GGACCGCUAGCUCAGUUGGUAGAGCAGUAGACUCUUAAUCUACGGGUCGAUGGUUCGAAUCCAUCGCGGUUCA
Molecule: transfer RNA, 73 nt
Filed under: Treponema sp.
Lineage: Bacteria; Pseudomonadati; Spirochaetota; Spirochaetia; Treponematales; Treponemataceae
Description: tRNA-Lys
Rfam family: tRNA
About the family: Transfer RNA (tRNA) molecules are approximately 80 nucleotides in length. Their secondary structure includes four short double-helical elements and three loops (D, anti-codon, and T loops). Further hydrogen bonds mediate the characteristic L-shaped molecular structure. tRNAs have two regions of fundamental functional importance: the anti-codon, which is responsible for specific mRNA codon recognition, and the 3' end, to which the tRNAs corresponding amino acid is attached (by aminoacyl-tRNA synthetases). tRNAs cope with the degeneracy of the genetic code in two manners: having more than one tRNA (with a specific anti-codon) for a particular amino acid; and 'wobble' base-pairing, i.e. permitting non-standard base-pairing at the 3rd anti-codon position.
Source: RNAcentral